This 492-nucleotide ribosomal RNA is filed under the name uncultured bacterium. Its description in RNAcentral is "partial 16S ribosomal RNA". It matches the Rfam family "Bacterial small subunit ribosomal RNA", at positions 29 to 507 of the family's 1533-position model. The record is from RNAcentral.
AGUGAACGCUGUCGGUAGGCAUAACACAUGCCAGUCGAACGGCAGCACAGUAAGAGCUUGCUCUUACGGGUGGCGAGUGGCGGACGGGUGAGGAAUACAUCGGAAUCUACUUUUUCGAGGGGGAUAACGUAGGGAAACUUACGCUAAUACCUCAUACGACCAACGGGUGAAAGCAGAGGAUCUUCGGACCUUGAGCAAAUGCCUGAGCCGAUGUCGGAUUAGCUAGUUGGCGGGGUAAAGGCCCACCAAGGCGACGAUCCGUAUCUGGUCUGAGAGGAUGAUCAGCCACACUGGAACUGAGACACGGUCCAGACUCCUACGGGAGGCAGCAGUGGGGAAUAUUGGACAAUGGGCGCAAGCCUGAUCCAGCCAUACCGCGUGGGGGAAGAAGGCCUUCGGGUUGUAAAGCCCUUUUGUUGGGAAAGAAAAGCAGCAGGUUAAUACCCCGCUGUUCUGACGGUACCCAAAGAAUAAGCACCGGCUAACUUCGUG